GGCGACGGGUGAGUACACGUAUCUAACCUACCAUUUAGUGGGGAAUAACUGUUGGAAACGACAGCUAAUACCGCAUAUGUUAUUUAUUUGCAAUGAUAAAUAAUGAAAGGAGCAUUUGCUUCGCUAAUUGAUGGGGAUGCGGCGCAUUAACUAGUUGGUAAGGUAAUGGCUUACCAAGGUAACGAUGCGUAGCCGAUCUGAGAGGAUGAACGGCCACAUUGGGACUGAGACACGGCCCAAACUUCUACGGAAGGCAGCAGUAGGGAAUUUUUCACAAUGGGCGAAAGCCUGAUGGAGCAAUGCCGCGUGACUGAUGAAGGUCUUCGGAUUGGAAAGGUCUGUUGUAAAGGAAGAAGUGCUAGAAUAGGAAACGAUUUUAGUAUCGACCAUACCUUACCAGAAAGCCACGGCUAACUAUGUGCCAGCAGCCGCGGUAAUACAUAGGUGGCAAGCGUUAUCCGGAUUUAUUGGGCGUAAAGCGUGCGUAGACGGUUUUGCAAGUCUGAGGUUAAAUUUAGGGGCUCAACCCCUAACCGCCUUGGAAACUACAUUACUAGAGUAUAGGAGAGGUUAGUGGAAUUUCAUGUGUAGCGGUGGAAUGCGUAGAUAUAUGAGGGAACACCAGUGGCGAAGGCGGCUAACUGGCCUAUUACUGACGUUGUGGCACGAAAGCGUGGGGAGCAAAUAGGAUUAGAUACCCUAGUAGUCCACGCCGUAAACGAUGAGUACUAAGUGUUGCCAUGAGGCAGUGCUGUAGCUAACGCAUUAAGUACUCCGCCUGAGUAGUAUGCUCGCAAGGGUGAAACUCAAAGGAAUUGACGGGGACCCGCACAAGCGGUGGAGCAUGUGGUUUAAUUCGAAGCAACGCGAAGAACCUUACCAGGUCUUGACAUACCUUGCGAAGAUAUAGAGAUAUAGUAGAGGUUAACAAGGAUACAGGUGGUGCAUGGUUGUCGUCAGUUCGUGUCGUGAGAUGUUUGGUUAAGUUCAGCAACGAACGCAACCCUUGUCCUUAGUUGCCAGCAUUAAGUUGGGGACUCUAAGGAGACUGCUAGUGUAAGCUAGAGGAAGGUGGGGACGACGUCAAAUCAU
RNAcentral lists this ribosomal RNA (1092 nucleotides) under Spiroplasma sp. Hm type A. RNAcentral's name for it is "bacterial SSU rRNA". It matches the Rfam family "Bacterial small subunit ribosomal RNA", at positions 97 to 1193 of the family's 1533-position model. Lineage: Bacteria; Bacillati; Mycoplasmatota; Mollicutes; Entomoplasmatales; Spiroplasmataceae. The record is from RNAcentral.